GAAGAAGAAGAAGAAGAAGAAGAAGCCUUAUGUUACCAGCCUAAAUUGGUAGAAUUAAGGAAGUUUUUAGUUCCCCUGCUAAUUCACAGAUAUAUAGAAAGCCUGCAUUUUUCAACCACCUUUGGCAAUUUGCUUUCAGUAGUUCAACAACUCCUCUGUGGACACCUUUUUAAUGUCUGUCUCGGUCUCUGGAUGUUGUGUAGAGGACGUCGACAAGACGAAGGCAGAUUUGUUCUCUGGCUCAGAAGAAAUGGUGAGCGAAGACUCGAUUACGAAAUCCGAGCGCUACCACAGGAGUUACAGAGUGUGGACAUCAAACUGCAGUCAUUCUGGUCAAACUGAUGUUCUGCUGAUGAGGAGUGCAACACUUCCUGUUGCGACGCACCCUGUAUCCUGUUUUUUUCCACAGUCAGUGGUCAUGUGUGUCAUUCCCCCAUCUGAGGCUGUGCGGGCACAAUCUUGUGACCCUGUGCUAAGACUGAUCUAGGGGGACUCCAGAUGUCUGAGAAAAACUCUGAAUGUCAGCAAAAACUAUCCAUAUAAGAGAAUAAAUAUAUCUAAGUCUGUUGAGAAAUGACUCUGACUUUAGCCAAGCUUUCUAAAAAGUUGAAGUGACAGAUUCCAGUGAACAACAGACAUAUGUCAAAGCACAUUCUUUAUGUUUUUAAGUGUAAAGUAAGCUGUAGCAGCACCUGCUUAGAGUGCCAUUUUGAAUCCAUUAGCAUGCUUCCUUUACAGUAUCACAGCCUCUUAAAAUAAUGCAUACAAAGAUAGUUAUGAAAACAUUGACACCUCUGUACCGCAGGCCCAAAGACUCGAGGGGCCAAACUACGUGACUGUAUAUUAAGAGGUGCCAGUGUAACUGUUUGCGUGCUUGUGUGUGUUUAAACCAUCACAGAUAUGUAUCUUGUGACUGCAUUCAGACGGAAAACUGUGAAGUGCCCAGUUACACCCUGUGGUGGGACAAACCAGAAAAGCAGUACUUGGUCAGAGCUGCUGCAUGUCACAAGUUUGUUACUUUACAGUGUGACACUUAUAUAAACAAAGCUGCUAACUUCAUUUUAUACACUAUAUAUUUAAUUUGAACUGUUGAUUUUACAGAGUGAGAUUAACCUAUUUAGAUACUGCUGCGGGGACACCAUAGUGUGUUAACUUGUUCAGUGCAGCAGAAGUAAUUUACAGCAGUAGUGUUCAUCCCAAAGUUAGUGUCCUUUGCAUUUGGUUAUUUGGAUUGGUUAGCUAAGUUUAGCACAAGACUAAAACAUAUGGUACACAGUUAGCCUUGUUUGAGUCACAUUUUGAUGUUGAAUUUUCUUGCUUUUAGUUGCAGCAAGUUUAGUUGAUUUCCCAGCUAUUUCCAAUCUUUGUGUUAAGCUAACCAGUUGUGGCUGUAGCAUCAGUUUUCCAAAUAGAAACUGGCGUAAUAUGCAUUUCCUCAUGUAACUUUGGGCAAAAAGGCAAGGGCUUACAAUGAACCUUUGUGUGACAAUAUCACUCUGUCAAAAUAAAAGCACUAAAGCAAGACGCAUUGCAGUUGAAUUCCGUGUUGUGAGGACUAACGAUGUAACAAAGAGAAAUAUUAAAGUAAAAUACCUCAUCGCUUUUAACUAGAUUUUUUUUUGUUAUAAUUUUGACCUGUGUUGGUGCGUAAAGCCCCAAUAUAGAUCAACACUCAGAUACAGCUAUAAUGGAUGUUGUGAAAGGGUUAAAUGUUUAGCAUGGCUAUUGUUUUGGAUGUUAUAAUAACAUACAUGUUCUAUGGUCAAUGGUGUCAGAGAAUAUUCUGGUGCUUACUUUGCCUUUUUUUUUAAGGUUGACCAACAAAUUGAAUGCAAUCAGACUGAUCCAGUAUAACUUCUUUACAAUGAUUGUAAUGUACAGGUUAUGCUAUAGAAGGGUGUACAUUUAAUAUGGGUUGUAGUUUGAGUUGUCGUUGUACUGGGUCGGGACAGAGGGUAA
Labrus mixtus (cuckoo wrasse) is the source of this 1959-nucleotide long non-coding RNA. RefSeq lists it as uncharacterized. NCBI's taxonomy places the organism in Eukaryota, Metazoa, Chordata, Actinopteri, Labriformes, Labridae. The transcript has 2 exons. The record is from RefSeq and is a predicted model, not a curated record.